UAUCAGGUGGGAGAAUGUUUUCAUGGCUCGGCGUAGUCCCUUUCUUUAUACGGAUUGGAGCAUGAAUCUGCAAAAUAAGGUCAUUUCAACAACCAAACGAGGUAAUAAGUGGUGUGCAGUUAAAGCAGUUAUGUUGUGCACAGUUAUUAAUGUACUCAGUUUAACACAUUUGUAUUUACAAUUUUCUUUCAUAUAUUCUCAAAAACAGAUCAGUCUUGACUAUAUAAUUUAGUGUCAGUUAUUAUCGUGAAAAUCGAACUGUCUUCUCACAUUUUUAUUUUAUUUUGCAAUUAGAACUGUCUAUGUAAGAGCUAUGACUGCACAAAUUAGAACCCCAAUAUGAUAAUCCUAGUGUGUUUUCCAUUUUUGCUGUGCAACUAACACCUAACGACCAUCCCUAAAAAAAUACCGAAGGACUGUACACAAACAUAAUUAGCCCUGGACAAGAAUAUUGCCAAGCCAUGCAGAGGUAAUAAGAAUUUGGAUCAAGAAGAGGUUUUUGCUCCUUACCUUCUGGUAUUCAAUUAGCUAUUGGUAUAUCUUAGUACAUAAGUGUGAAAAGGAAUAACUGAAUGUACUAUCAAGCAUAGGAAUUUACGAGGAACAGAUCUAAGAAGUCAAGCUGCAAAUCUUUAAGAGUAGUGUCAAUUGCCUCUGGAACAUCUUCAGGUGCAUGAUCACCAGACCUGCAAAAUUAAGAAUAUUCCUGACAGGAUGGAAAUUAUUUCACAUGUUCCCUUAAUUGAGGUUGGGGAAUGAAUCCUAACCAUAGCUUAGAGGUGAUAAACAAAUCUUCACGCUUAACCACACCAUCCUCAAAUAGUUUCUUCAAAGCGAAACCAACCUACACAAAUAAUAUUUCAUAUUAGUAGAAAUGUUUCCAAACCAAAAUAAUAAUAUUGAAACACUAGAAGGCUUCUUGGAAUGUGUACUUGCUACUUCCAGUUUCAUUGAUCUACUUGCACACACCCCUAAAAAAAUACUACCUUGCACACCCUUUUUGUCAUCGCAUUGUUGUGUAUGAUUCUAAAUUUCAGAGCUGAAGUAUUUCCUUCUCACUUAUCAAUUAUCAUCAAUACAUUUCCGCAAUAUUGUUUUGAGAAAAAAAAUAUGCAUUGAAUUUUGGCAUAAUAACUGUAUGCACAUAAUAUAUCAAAAUUAAAAAACAUACACCAACAUUGUUUUGCGGAGCACUCCAAUUUAAGUAUUUAACCUGUUAUUACACAAAAAAGAAAAGAAAAAAGGUUGCAGCAUGCGCAUUGAGCUAUUGAAGGGACAAACAUGUGAUGUAACGGUCACGCUAUGGUGCAUGUAAUUACUAAUACCUGUUUCUCGUUGCGGUACACUGGAGCACAAUCAAUAUGCCGAUAUCCAGCCUGCCGGAAAAGCAUGGAACUUUUAGAAGGGAAAAAAUAAGGGAUAGAGAUUGAUAUAUAUCUCAGGGCUCCGGAGCAGAAGCAUGUGGAAAAUUCAAAAGUCAACUUGAGGCCCCAGGUAACACAAAGCUGAACCUAGCUUGAUGGGGUGAGCACUUAAUAUCCAAGACCAUCAAGAAGGGAUUAAAGCGACAGGAAAAGACCUUGACAGCAGCGUAGAUGGCGUCGCCGACAACAUCAGGCUCUAUCUGCCAUGUGCCGAGGCCGACCGAUGGCAUCCUUGCGCCGGUGUUGAGGACGAAGGACCUGGCCAUCUUUGCUCUUUGGGGCAAGAUAGACGAGAGAGAGACUGUCAAAGAAGAUGGGUACGGUGGGUUUGGGGUUGCUGCUGGGGUUAUCUAUUCGCUUUGCAAUAAACUAGACAUAUCAAUGUAACAGAGUGAUCGACACACACAUAAUGUAUGUCAUCAGUGACAGGACUGUAAAGAGCUGAUUGGACUGAGUACACUUUUCUAGAAGAUGGGUCCUCUUCGCUGUUGUGGACAA
Triticum urartu is the source of this 1922-nucleotide long non-coding RNA. RefSeq lists it as uncharacterized. The record is from RefSeq and is a predicted model, not a curated record. Lineage: Eukaryota; Viridiplantae; Streptophyta; Magnoliopsida; Poales; Poaceae.